GGGGUUGUGGCUUAGCAGUACAGCACUCGUCUCACAUGUGAGAGGCCCUGUGUUCAAUCCUUAGCACCUCA
RNAcentral lists this transfer RNA (71 nucleotides) under Ictidomys tridecemlineatus (thirteen-lined ground squirrel). RNAcentral's name for it is "Spermophilus tridecemlineatus (thirteen-lined ground squirrel) tRNA". It matches the Rfam family "tRNA". Rfam says of the family: Transfer RNA (tRNA) molecules are approximately 80 nucleotides in length. Their secondary structure includes four short double-helical elements and three loops (D, anti-codon, and T loops). Further hydrogen bonds mediate the characteristic L-shaped molecular structure. tRNAs have two regions of fundamental functional importance: the anti-codon, which is responsible for specific mRNA codon recognition, and the 3' end, to which the tRNAs corresponding amino acid is attached (by aminoacyl-tRNA synthetases). tRNAs cope with the degeneracy of the genetic code in two manners: having more than one tRNA (with a specific anti-codon) for a particular amino acid; and 'wobble' base-pairing, i.e. permitting non-standard base-pairing at the 3rd anti-codon position. The record is from Rfam by way of RNAcentral. Lineage: Eukaryota; Metazoa; Chordata; Mammalia; Rodentia; Sciuridae.